CCUACGGGUGGCAGCAGUGAGGAAUAUUGGUCAAUGGACGAGAGUCUGAACCAGCCAAGUAGCGUGAAGGAUGACUGCCCUAUGGGUUGUAAACUUCUUUUAUAUGGGAAUAAAAUGUUCCACGUGUGGGAUUUUGUAUGUACCAUAUGAAUAAGGAUCGGCUAACGCCGUGCCAGCAGCCGCGGUAAUACGGAGGAUCCGAGCGUUAUCCGGAUUUAUUGGGUUUAAAGGGAGCGUAGGUGGAUUGUUAAGUCAGUUGGGAAAGUUUGCGGCUCAACCGUAAAAGUGCAGUUGAAACUGGCAGUCUUGAGUACAGUAGAGGUGGGCGGAAGUCGUGGUGUAGCGUUGAAAUGCUUAGAUAUCACGAAGAACUCCGAUUGCGAAGGCAGCUCACUGGACUGCAACUGACACUGAGGCUCGAAAGUGUGGGUAUCAAACAGGAUUAGAUACCCCGGUAGUC
This 460-nucleotide ribosomal RNA is filed under the name uncultured bacterium. RNAcentral's name for it is "partial 16S ribosomal RNA". It matches the Rfam family "Bacterial small subunit ribosomal RNA", at positions 338 to 795 of the family's 1533-position model. The record is from RNAcentral.